AAAAAUAACCGAUCGUUGGAGGAACUUCAUCUAAUGACGUCACAGAAUCCAAUAUAAAUAGUUGAUCUGUGGGUUUCCUAUGAUAGUACACACGUUAUCACCGUACCAAGUUUACUAACUGCCACAACAUAUUAAGACUAUUUAACAGACUUCGAUAAUAGCUCUACACAUCUUAACAAUUAGGUUAUACUCGUCUUGCGCGCUGUGAAUGCUAUACCAUCAUAGAGUUCUUAACGGCACCAAGCUUCGUUUAAUAGUAGUAGUACUAUAUAACUACCGUUUACAGUAAACAGUCUCUGUACAAGUUUGUUCAACAAAUCGAUUUUGUUUUAGAUUUUAUCAAAAGUGGACUUUUCUGUUAUAUUUAUUAACAAAUAUUCAGAUGUGCCGAAAACAAUACAAAAGUUACUAAUGAUGCAAGCGAUAGAGACAUAGGUGCAGGUCUUGUAAUAGGUGACAAUCUCACUAGUGUUGUUUUAUUAUUAACUAAUAAAUAAACAGACAUGGGUUGUGUAAAUUCAACAAAAAAUAAAUUAAAGCAAGGAAAGUUCGAAACCUCUAAAUCUGGACAUCGGAAAACAUACUUGACAACAAAUGGGCAUACGGGAAAUGGAGUUUCCCCAGAGACAUCUCCCAGAGAAGAAGAUAUUAAACCAGCUAUCACAGAAAGACAAAAAGAACUAGUGUUAGAAUCGUGGGAGAUUGUACAGGCUGAUGUGUCCACAGUUGGGGUUAAUAUGUUCAUGCGAUUGUUUGAGACGCAGCCAGAUGUACAAGACGUGUUUGUUCCUUUCAAAGGGAAGUCAGUGGAUGAACUUAAAGACAGCACCCAACUUAAAUCUCACGCUAUGCGAGUCUUGAGUGCAGUGGAGAAAAGUAUAGCUAGUUUUGACAAUCCAAAACGGUUAGAGGAAAUGCUCAGUGAUCUUGGUGCCCGACAUGUUAUGUAUAAUGCCAAGGUGGAUUAUAUUGACUUGAUUGGACCGCAGUUCAUUUGGGCUAUAGAGCCAGUGGUCGGCGACAAGUGGAUUCCGGAAAUGGAACAAGCGUGGUCCGAUCUAUUUAAAUACAUCAGCCAUAUAAUGAAAGCGUCCAUGACGUUUUGACGGGUUUGUCUUCAUUACUGCCAGCUGAAAAUGAUGUUCUGCCUUUUAAUGACGAAACCAAACAUGCUUAGUUCAAGAAUCCUACAUUACAUAAUGAAGAAGUCGACAACUAACGAAAUUGUUAUGUAAAAUGCUCCUGGGGAAUAAAUAUAAAUCUAUGGGGGAUAAAUCA
Long non-coding RNA from Patella vulgata (common limpet), 1278 nucleotides. RefSeq lists it as uncharacterized. Lineage: Eukaryota; Metazoa; Mollusca; Gastropoda; Patellidae. The record is from RefSeq and is a predicted model, not a curated record. The transcript has 3 exons.